CCGGCACAAGCGGUGGAGCAUGUGGUUUAAUUCGAUGCAACGCGAAGAACCUUACCUGGGCUUGACAUCCCGGGAAUCCCUUGGAAACAAGGGAGUGCCCUUCGGGGAACCUGGAGACAGGUGCUGCAUGGCUGUCGUCAGCUCGUGUCGUGAGAUGUAGGGUUAAGUCCCGCAACGAGCGCAACCCUUGUCUUUAGUUGCCAUCAUUAAGUUGGGCACUCUAAAGAGACUGCCGAUGACAAAUCGGAGGAAGGUGGGGAUGACGUCAAAUCAUCAUGCCCUUUAUGUCCUGGGCUACACACGUGCUACAAUGGUCGGUACAACGAGAAGCAAGCCAGCGAUGGCAAGCAAAUCUCUAAAAGCCGAUCCCAGUUCGGAUUGCAGGCUGCAACUCGCCUGCAUGAAGUCGGAGUUGCUAGUAAUCGCGGAUCAGAAUGCCGCGGUGAAUGCGUUCCCGGGUCUU
Molecule: ribosomal RNA, 463 nt
Filed under: uncultured Eubacteriales bacterium
Lineage: Bacteria; Bacillati; Bacillota; Clostridia; Eubacteriales
Description: bacterial SSU rRNA
Rfam family: Bacterial small subunit ribosomal RNA
Source: RNAcentral